UUGGAGGGCAAGUCUGGUGCCAGCAGCCGCGGUAAUUCCAGCUCCAAUAGCGUAUAUUAAAGUUGUUGCAGUUAAAAAGCUCGUAGUUGAAUUUCGGGGUCAGUAGGCUGGUCGUGCCACAGGUACGUACUGGUCUCACUGAUUCCUCCUUCCUGAUGAACCGUAAUGCCAUUAAUUUGGUGUUGCGAGGAAUCUGGACUGUUACUUUGAAAAAAUUAGAGUGUUUAAAGCAGGCUAACGCUUGAAUACAUUAGCAUGGAAUAAUGAAAUAGGACGUUCGAUCUUAUUUUGUUGGUUUCUAAGAUUGACGUAAUGAUUAAUAGGGAUAGUUGGGGGCAUUAGUAUUCAAUUGUCAGAGGUGAAAUUCUUGGAUUUAUUGAAGACUAACUACUGCGAAAGCAUUUGCCAAGGAUGUUUUCAUUAAUCAAGAACGAAAGUUAGGGGAUCGAAGACGAUCAGAUACCGUCGUAGUCUUAACCAUAAACUAUGCCGACUAGGGAUCGGAUGAUGUUAAUUUUUUAAUGACUCAUUCGGCGCCUUACGGGAAAC
RNAcentral lists this ribosomal RNA (549 nucleotides) under uncultured Glomus. RNAcentral describes it as "SSU rRNA". It matches the Rfam family "Eukaryotic small subunit ribosomal RNA", at positions 548 to 1098 of the family's 1831-position model. The record is from RNAcentral. Lineage: Eukaryota; Fungi; Glomeromycota; Glomeromycetes; Glomerales; Glomeraceae.